UGGAUUGUGACUCAGUGGUAGAGCACUUGCUUAGCACACAUGAGGCACUGGGUUCAAUCCCCAGCACCAA
RNAcentral lists this transfer RNA (70 nucleotides) under Marmota monax (woodchuck). It matches the Rfam family "tRNA". From Rfam's summary of the family: Transfer RNA (tRNA) molecules are approximately 80 nucleotides in length. Their secondary structure includes four short double-helical elements and three loops (D, anti-codon, and T loops). The record is from Rfam by way of RNAcentral. Lineage: Eukaryota; Metazoa; Chordata; Mammalia; Rodentia; Sciuridae.